UACGUAGGGUGCAAGCGUUGUCCGGAUUUAUUGGGUUUAAAGGGUGCGUAGGGGGCUGAUUAAGUCAUGGGUGAAAGCCCGCAGCUCAACUGUGGAAUUGCCUGUGAUACUGAUUAGCUUGAGUGCGGUUGAGGCAGCUGGAAUUGGUGGUGUAGCGGUGAAAUGCAUAGAUACCACCAGGAACACCGAUUGCGAAGGCAGGUUGCUAAGCCGUAACUGACACUGAGGCAUGAAAGCGUGGGGAGCAAACACG
This 253-nucleotide ribosomal RNA is filed under the name uncultured bacterium. RNAcentral's name for it is "partial 16S ribosomal RNA". It matches the Rfam family "Bacterial small subunit ribosomal RNA", at positions 524 to 776 of the family's 1533-position model. The record is from RNAcentral.